This is a small nuclear RNA of Solanum pennellii, 192 nucleotides long. RefSeq annotates it as U2 spliceosomal RNA. Lineage: Eukaryota; Viridiplantae; Streptophyta; Magnoliopsida; Solanales; Solanaceae. The transcript has a single exon. The record is from RefSeq and is a predicted model, not a curated record.
AUACCUUUCUCGACCUUUUAUCUUAGAUCAUGUGUAGUAUUUGUUCUUAUCAGUUUAAUAUAUGAUAUGAGAGUCAUCGACUCACACGAUAUUAACUCUAUUUUUCGAGGGGGAAGGUCCAUCAUAGUAGCUUGACUCACACGAUAUUAACUCUACUUUUUGGGGGGAAGGCCCACAAAGGUAGCUUGCUAU